UGACAAAUCCGAGGCUAACUCAAUAUGU
This 28-nucleotide non-coding RNA is filed under the name Bombyx mori (domestic silkworm). The record is from RNAcentral. Lineage: Eukaryota; Metazoa; Arthropoda; Insecta; Lepidoptera; Bombycidae.